RNA transcript from Ictalurus furcatus (blue catfish), 1714 nucleotides. It is a transcript of the gene named E3 ubiquitin-protein ligase UBR2-like, with no coding region annotated. Lineage: Eukaryota; Metazoa; Chordata; Actinopteri; Siluriformes; Ictaluridae. The transcript has 5 exons. The record is from RefSeq and is a predicted model, not a curated record.
GACAUCAGUUAACAUUGUGACCCCUUCCCUGGAGAGAACAGCAUUACAAUUCUGAAAACAGUUUUUGUAAAUAAUAAUUCACUACUUAAAGCAUGUACCCGAGCUCCUGCUACGCAGUAACUAAAACUGUCUGCAACUCACGUGUCACUUCAUUCUUUAGUUCCUUCUCUUAAGUGUAGAGCCUCUGUCAGAUUGUGUGAUUGAUAAAGAAAAGCACAUAAAUGACAAAAUACCAGUUUGAGUGCCUAGUGGUCUAAUCAGGAAAUGCUCUUUGGAAGCUCAAUAUAUGCACUUAUCCAUUUGCAUUUUGAUUCGGCUGUUAGUGCUGAGGAUGUCCUUAAGGUGAUGUGCUGCUUUUGGCAGAUUUAGUAAUUCUCUUUAGUCACAUGAGCACUAAUGGUUUUUCUAAAUUUGUAUGUUGUUUAUUUUGGAUACAGGCAGAGGAAGCUCAGCGAAAGCUUAAGAGACCGAAUGGAGAGGACCCAGCCCUGCCUCCAUUCUGCCCACUGUUUGCCAGCUUGGUAAACAUUCUGCAGUGUGACGUGCUGCUUGGCAUGCUGGGAGCUGUGUUGCAGUGGGCUAUGGAGCCCAGUGGAGGACACUGGUCUGAGUCCAUGCUGCAGAGGGUGCUGCACUUGAUAGGCAUGGCUCUGCUGGAGGAGCAGCAACAGCUAGAGAACAUUGGGGAUGACGAUGAAGUUGCUUUCAACUUCACCCUCAAAAUCUCCCAUGGUGGUUAGCAUUAAAACGAUGCGCGAGUGCACAGCUGCUGCACCUCCCUGUGAAGGAACAGGGCACUGUCACAAGGAGACUGUGUGGGACAAAGCAGAGAGAAAAAGGAAAGCUGAACUGUGCUGGAAAAAGACCAUGGCUCAAACAUUACAGAGUCAUUUUAUCAAUAAGUACAUAGAUCUGCUCACACAGGAUUCAGAGGAUCUGGACGCCUCAGCCUCUACAUCAGCAGAGCAUAGGUACCUAAGCAUGCUCUAUAGAACAACUGAACAGCAACGUUUCCAUACAGGUUUUAGUGAAAUGUUUAACAAUAGCAACUUGACUUGAAAUGGAUGAUGUUUCAUUAGCGUGGCCUGUGCCCAAAUCCUGCACGACUGCGUAUCUAGGUACACUACACACGGUCUGAACGAAUGGAGUCUCUACCGCACCUAGUGCACUAGAGAUAGAGAUUCCAUACAAGGUGAUUUGGGACGGAGCCAGUGCACAGAAACCGUUUCCCUGCGAGAGGCGCAGGUGGAGCAGGAGCUGUGUGACUGAUUUGUGCACCUGUGACUACAGAACUACCUCAAGUCUCCACACAGAGAGCUGUUCAAGAGAAAAACACCCCUAAAGAACAAAUCACUGCGCCAGCGAGACAUCAACCCUUUAACUAGACGUUCAUCCCAAUUCCACACAAAUACCGCGGAACUAUUUAGGGCUGAGAGACAGUUCAAAAAGCACUGAAAAUAAAGUGUUAGUAACGAGGCCGCGUUGCUGGUCACGCGCGGUGUAGACGCGCUGAUACAGAGUGUAGCGCGAGUAAGAUCUGUAAUGUCUAAUUCAAAUAUUAUGAUCAAAAGUAAAAUAAUGUCUAAAGACACCGAGAUACAGAAACCACAAGGUGCAGUGAAAGUGAGUUUUUAUUAUUCAUUUAGGACUGGAGUUUAAUUCUGUGCUUUUUGUGCAUCCAUAAAAAAUAAUGCUAUCUAUCUAACUAUUUAUA